RNAcentral lists this ribosomal RNA (394 nucleotides) under uncultured bacterium. RNAcentral's name for it is "bacterial SSU rRNA". It matches the Rfam family "Bacterial small subunit ribosomal RNA", at positions 355 to 766 of the family's 1533-position model. The record is from RNAcentral.
UCGGGAAUUUUGGGCAAUGGGCGAAAGCCUGACCCAGCAACGCCGCGUGAAGGAUGAAGGUCUUCGGUAUGUAAACUUCGUAAGAAUAGGAAGAAUAAAUGACGGUACUAUUUGUAAGGUCCGGCUAACUACGUGCCAGCAGCCGCGGUAAUACGUAGGGACCAAGCGUUGUUCGGAUUUACUGGGCGUAAAGGGCGCGUAGGCGGUGUGUCAAGUCAGUUGUGAAAUCUCCGAGCUUAACUCGGAACGGUCAACUGAUACUGUCACACUAGAGUACAGAAGGGGCAAUCGGAAUUCUUGGUGUAGCGGUGAAAUGCGUAGAUAUCAAGAGGAACACCUGAGGCGAAGGCGGGUUGCUGGGCUGAUACUGACGCUGAGGCGCGAAAGCUAGGGU